CCUACGGGUGGCAGCAGUGGGGAAUAUUGGGCAAUAGGCGCAAGCCUGACCCAGCAACGCCGCGUGAAGGAAGACGGCCCUCGGGUUGUAAACUUCUUUUAUCGGGGACGAAGCAAGUGCCGGUACCUGCUGAAUAAGCCACGGCUAACUACGUGCCAGCAGCCGCGGUCAUACGUAGGUGGCAAGCGUUAUCCGGAUUUCCUGGGUGUAAAGGGCGUGUAGGCGGGAGUGCAAGUCAGAUGUGAAAACUAUGGGCUCAACCCAUAGCCUGCAUUUGAAACUGUACUUCUUGAGUGCUGGAGAGGCAAUCGGAAUUCCGGGUGUAGCGGUGAAAUGCGUAGAUAUACGGAGGAACACCAGUGGCGAAGGCGGAUUGCUGGACAGUAACUGACGCUGAGGCGCGAAAGCGUGGGGAGCAAACAGGAUUAGAUACCCCAGUAGUC
Molecule: ribosomal RNA, 443 nt
Filed under: uncultured bacterium
Lineage: Bacteria
Description: partial 16S ribosomal RNA
Rfam family: Bacterial small subunit ribosomal RNA
Source: RNAcentral